CGGGGGAGACACCGUGGUCACACAGGCGGGUGUCCCAGGGCGAGGCUCACCCAUUGCACUUGGCAUGAGCUGACCCCUGUGAUUUCCCCAAAUGUGGGAGACUCCACUG
Small nuclear RNA from Bison bison bison, 109 nucleotides. Its record names the gene U1. It matches the Rfam family "U1 spliceosomal RNA". Rfam says of the family: U1 is a small nuclear RNA (snRNA) component of the spliceosome (involved in pre-mRNA splicing). The record is from Ensembl. NCBI's taxonomy places the organism in Eukaryota, Metazoa, Chordata, Mammalia, Artiodactyla, Bovidae.